GGGGCUAAUACCGGAUAUUAUGCUUAUACCACAUGGUAUUUGUAUCAAAGGUGACCUCUUCUUGAAAGUUACUGUUUAGAGAUGGGCUUGCGGUCCAUUAGCUUGUUGGUAGGGUAACGGCCUACCAAGGCGACGAUGGAUAGCCGACCUGAGAGGGUGAUCGGCCACAUUGGGACUGAGAUACGGCCCAGACUCCUACGGGAGGCAGCAGUAGGGAAUUUUGCGCAAUGGACGAAAGUCUGACGCAGCAACUCCGCGUGAGGGAUGAAUGCCUUCGGGUUGUAAACCUCUGUUGAGUGGGAAGAAUAAUUUUAUUGCUAAUAUCAAUAAAACAUGACGGUACCAUUCGAGGAAGCUCCGGCUAACUACGUGCCAGCAGCCGCGGUAAUACGUAGGGAGCAAGCGUUGUUCGGAAUUACUGGGCGUAAAGGGAGUGCAGGCGGAAAAGUAAGUUAGAAGUGAAAUGUAUCGGCUCAACCGGUAACCUGCUUUUAAUACUGCUUUUCUUGAGUAUGGGAGAGGAAGAUGGAAUUCCAGGUGUAGCGGUGGAAUGCGUAGAUAUCUGGAAGAACACCAGUUGCGAAGGCGGUCUUCUGGCCCAAUACUGACGCUGAGGCUCGAAAGCUAGGGGAGCAAACAGGAUUAGAUACCCUGGUAGUCCUAGCCGUAAACGAUGGACACUAGAUGCUGGGGGCGUUUUGUCUUCGGUGUCGAAGCUAACGCAUUAAGUGUCCCGCCUGGGGAGUACGCUCGCAAGGGUGAAACUCAAAGGAAUUGACGGGGGCCCGCACAAGCGGUGGAGCAUGUGCUUCAAUUCGAUGCAACGCGAAGAACCUUACCUGGUCUUGACAUGGGAGUGAAAGUUUCUAGAGAUAGAAGCCUUUCCUUAGGGAACACUCUACACAGGUGCUGCAUGGUUGUCGUCAGCUCGUGUCGUGAGAUGUUGGGUUAAGUCCCGCAACGAGCGCAACCCUUGUCCUUAGUUGCCAUCAGGUUAUGCUGGGAACUCUAAGGAGACUGCCUGGAUUAACCAGGAGGAAGGUGGGGAUGACGUCAAAUCCUCAUGGCCCUUACGACCAGGGCUA
This 1085-nucleotide ribosomal RNA is filed under the name uncultured Chitinivibrionia bacterium. RNAcentral's name for it is "bacterial SSU rRNA". It matches the Rfam family "Bacterial small subunit ribosomal RNA", at positions 159 to 1216 of the family's 1533-position model. Lineage: Bacteria; Pseudomonadati; Fibrobacterota; Chitinivibrionia. The record is from RNAcentral.